AACGAACGCUGGCGGCAUGCCUAACACAUGCAAGUCGAACGAAACCUUCGGGUCUAUGGGCGCACGGGUGCUUAACGCCGGGGAACCUGCCCGUAGGUUAGGUAUAACUCCCCGAAAGGGGUGCUAAUGCCGGUUGAUCUCUUCCGACCAAAGAUUUAUCGCCAUUGGGUGGGGCCGGGUUGGAUUAGCUAGUUGGUAGGGUAAAAGCCUACCAAGGCGACGAUGCAUAGCUGGUCUGAGAGGAGGAUCCUCCACACUGGGACUGAGACACGGCCCAGACUCGUACGGGAGGCAGCAGUGGGGAAUAUUGGACAAGGGGCGAAAGCCUGAUCCAGCAAUGCCGCGUGAGUGAUGAAGGCGUUAGGGUUGUAAAGCUCUUUUACCCGAGAUGAUAAUGACAGUACCGGGAGAAUAAGCUCCGGCUAACUCCGUG
RNAcentral lists this ribosomal RNA (433 nucleotides) under uncultured bacterium. RNAcentral describes it as "partial 16S ribosomal RNA". It matches the Rfam family "Bacterial small subunit ribosomal RNA", at positions 29 to 507 of the family's 1533-position model. The record is from RNAcentral.